UCUCAUAUUGUUUUCAUUUAUACAGAUUUAUUAUUUAAUAUUUCAAAAUUCAUAUUUUAUAUUUUAUUUUUUCAUUAAGGUCGUGUUGUCGGACUUUUAAAAUGUACCUAGGAUCUUGAAUUUAAUUUUUGCUUCUCGGACUCCUCUGGGUGAUAGCUUAAGCUUGUUGUCUGAGCUUGGCCAGUCAUGCCAUCUGUCUUGUUCACUUAUCUGCUGGGAUUCUACCUGCCAAUGUCCAAAAGUCCCUAGGAUCUUGAAUUUGAUUCUCCCUUAUAUGACUUCUCCCGGGAAUAGCUUGGCCAGUCAUAAUUUUUUUUCAUGAUAUUUAUCACAUUCACUUAGCUCAUGGGAUUUACCUGCCAAUGCCCAAAGGUUCCUUUUAUCCUUUUCCCCUAAUUAUUUCUGUCAUGCUCUGUCUCAUUUUUUAUUAAUCCAUAAUUUUGAAUUUCUAGACCAGUUUCAAUGAUUUGCACUGAUGCAAACAUGUGAAUUAAAUCCGUGAGCCGUUUUACUGCUUUAAAAGAUUAAUAUGUCUAAAAGGUUGUCAAGGAUGUGUCUACCCCCUCUAAUCUCUUAUUUUCCGCAAUUAUUAAUUUUUCCUACGUCCUAUAGGUAUUUUAUAAGGUCUGACAUAUUUAUCUCCUAUAGGAGGAAAUGAGAAAUUUUGUUUGGCAUUCGGCAUUUGUAUUGAUGAGAUGAGUUCACAAAACUCUUCUUUUGUCGACCAAUGUAAUUUGAUUUUAGAAUAUGUUCGUCGUCGGACAUAAUUGUGUAAACCAGUAUAUAAUGUACUGUAAUAUACUAUAAAUAAUAUAAUACAAUAUAGUAAUAUAAUACAAUAUAAUACAAUGCGAUGAAACAGACAACAUACUUGAAGACCAAAAAAUCAUAGUUAAAGCUUCACCAGUAAAUUCUGAUUAUUGGGUUGUUUACAUGAAUAAUCUUCCUGUAUCCAGCUUGUGCCAGUUUUCCAACAGAGGAAGAAAUUAAACCCUUUUCUUGGUUGCUGAAACUUCUUUCUUUGAUCCAUAUACUUGUGCCUUCUCCUAAAGCAUAUUUAUUACGCAUGGUUUUGGUUAUGAUCUGUGACCUUACUCUCAAGGUAAUUCCACUUGGGCAUCUGUAAAAAUUGUUCAGAUGUCCAUGCCCCUUUAACAAACAUUUGUUAAAGCUCUUCUUCAAUUGUUUCCUUGUAGUUGUUGCUGUGUCUUUGGAUGACACUUGUUUUGUAAUCAGAUUUACUAUGUUGUAUAGAAUCAUAGUUAUGUUAGCUUGCUGCUGAGUUUAUCUGUAUCCGAUGUUCACAAUCAAGUUUAUUCAUGGUAGCCUAUGAUACGUUUGAUCUGAAACAGGAGUAUUUCUAUUAAUUGUGAAAUAUUGAUCAAAUUUAUUUUUCCAUCUAAAGCGCUCCUUUGACCCUAAAACCAUGAAAGAUAACAUGAUGACGCCAAAAUGUUUACAAGAGGAUAAUUAAUCAGUCAGACUCAACCAAGGCAAAUGCAACAAAAACUUUAUUUGACCAAGAAAAAUGACAUGAAGGCAAGUACUAGCAUCAUGCAUCAUGGAAACCUAUGUAGCACGGACACGGAUCCGACACGGCCAUCCAACACGCCGACACGAGGCAAAUCCUAAAAAAUACAUAGGAUAAGUGUGUUCGACACGUGUGUCCGACACGGACACGACACAACACGGCUUCAUGUUAUGCGUGCCUGUGUUUCAUAGAUGGAAACUAUAGAAAGCAAUAGCUCUAAAAAACUUUAUGGAUCGUGGACAAAGUUUUGUCAUUUGCCAAACCGCGAACAGAUUUCUAAGCUAAACAACAUCCCGACAUAUACAGACAAGCUGCACCAUGAAAACCAUGGUUUUAAAUAUCGGCCGAUAAUCCGAUAUUAUCGCCGAGUUAUCGGAUUUGGGAGCUUUCCGCUAGGAUAAGUAGGAUUUUUAAUCGGUUAUCGUUUUGAGGUUUAUCGGCGAUAAAGGCACUUAUCGGCCGAUAAGUAGGCUCUAAAUAUCGCCUUUAUCGACCGAUAAGUAGGAUUUGGGAGCUUUUACUUUCUUUUCGAUUUGCUCUUUGAAUAUUUACAAAUUAUGAACUAUUUGUUGCUUUUGGAACUUGGUUGAUUGGUGAUUAGGUUAUGUUUGUUUAUGGAUAUUGAUAAUGGCUCAUAACUACUAAAUAUCAACUUAGUAAAUUAAUUUAUGAAUCUCAUGAUUAAACAAUAAUUAUGUAGAUGCGUAGAUGGUUCUUCAUUCUUGAUGUUAUCUUAUUAUUUGCUUGUUUAUUAUUUCAUUUUGACUAACAUUAUAUUUUUUUUUCAAGCUUAUGUUUGUUUAUUAUUUGCUAGUAUAUUACUCCGAUAAAUACUACUUAUCCCCGAUAUAUCCCCGAUUUUCGCUAUCUGAUAAGGAUUUUGACCGUCCGAUAAAUUCCUGAUAACCGACAUUUAAAACCUUGAUGAAAACAGGUUUUUUGACUGUUGAUGGGAGAUUUUCAUGGUUGUACGUAAUUUUGCUUGUGGGAUGGAAUAUUUGCAGUGAGCACUACAUACGCACAACUGAUUUACAAAUAGAAAUGCAUAAGUUGCCACGGAAAAUAAGGAUAGAUGAAGGAAUGGACCGUGAAGAAGGGAGAAGGAAAAGGCAUUUCAUGUUUGUAUGUAGAUCACAUCAUGGUUCCAUACUGUGUAGGCCCUUUUAUGUUUUAAAAGGAAAUUCCAAUAAUUAUUUAGUCCUUAUGUGAACUGUACCCAGUGUAGGCUCUUUUCUUUUUUAAAGGAAAUUCCAAUAGUUAUUUAGUCCUUAUGUGAACUGUACCCAGUUGCGUUUGUACCCAGUUGCGUUAUUGGAUAGACGAAGAAAUGACAUGGCAGGGGGGAAGUCCACAGGAAAGGUUUUAUGGUUACAUACGAAUGGUUCUCCGUCUUUCCUUGGGUUACAUACAAUUGGUUAUCUAGCAGCCAUUAUCCCAAACAUUUUGAAGGGACUACAUCUAAAGCCUAUAUCCCAAACCUGCUUCUCCUUUAAGCUUUCAAGAGGGAAGCCGUCUAGCUAUCAUAUUGUUCUUUACCAUCCUUUUGCUUUCUCGUCAAGCAUGCAAAACCAAGCUUGUGGUUGCUGCUGUUAGAAUUUUGACUCUUCAUAUUCUAUUAUGUGACAUUAAUAGCAAUUUGAGUUUGAAUUUUGGAAUUAACUACUUUGGUGGUUUUUAAGACAUAACUACAUUGGGUAGUUAUGAACUCCUUGAUGGUGGGAGUUCUAUAAAGAGAGUCGCUUGUCCACACACAAUGAAUGAUCAAUAAUCAAGUCCUGUGAUAAUAAUCCAUCAUCUCGGUUUUGUGUUGUGGAGUGGACAAGGAAGAAAAAUUAUCGGUAAUUCGGUGUUCAUUACAUUCAACAAUGGAAGAAGAAUCUUUUGUUCACCUGAUUCCUGCAUCAUUUCUCAUAAUUAUGAAGUCUCUUCCAUCAUAUAGAACUUCUUAGUAGGAUGAAAGCGAGGAUAUCUACCUUGAUCUGCAUGUCCCAUGUUAGGUGCCUAUUUUCGACAAUGGUGUUUCGAGUAUUGGAUUUGUGCUCCUAUUUGUUGACUAUUUUUAUUGUUUGAUCAAAGUGAAGUAUCACACUACUUGGGAUUUCUUUGGAGCGGAGGAGCUUCUUCACUUUAUUAAUAUCAGGUUCAGUAGAGUGUUUUUCCAAGGACUCAAUUCGUUCAUCUGGUAAUUUUACUUUAUUCUGUGACUUUAGAGCAACCCAUUUCUGUCAGUUGAUAUAUCAGGUUGGUCUUUCUGUUCUGAUGCUGUAAAUCCUGACUUCUUUUCUGCUGAACUUUGUCAAAUUUAUUUGGAGUAAGAAUCCAAAUUGUUUGAACCAAGAAUUUAUCAGUAGUUCAGAUCCUUUCAAAAAUUUCUAGUUCUUUGUCCUAUUUGUAAAUCUAUAGCCCAGUUAUAGCUAAAGCAUGUUUGAUAAUUUAAUGGCAUUGUAGUUCAUCAUCUGAGGAAAAUGGCUUCUCAUGCACGAGACUACCUCAAGACUUUAGCUGUGCCUCCUAAACAAUGGCCUAUAAGUGAACUAUUUUGUCAUAACUUUUAUGAAUAUGAACUUAUGACAUUAGACUGGGUACAAAGGAUGAUCAUUUAUCAAUUAUGCUGUGGAAUAUAUCUAUAGUGGUAUCAGCAAGAUCUGAUUGAAAAAACUGUGGCUAUUCUGGAAAAUAGUAGUUGGACAUCUAAGACGAUAAUUUAUUAUGACGUAGAAAAGCACAUUUGGCUAUUGACCUCACAUCAAUUGUUUAUGUUGAUACUGGUUUUUUUAUUGAAAAAUUGCUGAAAGGACUUACAAGGUUUCUGAAUUUUUAUUCCUCUAAAUUGAAUAAGAAUUUUAUGGGCAUUCUGAUUGGAUUAGAUAUUUUAGGCCUUAUAUCAUUGGUCCUUUUGAUGUGCGUUUAUCAAUAUAGGUUGUUUUUCCUGAUAAUAUUGCUCAUCAUGUAGCAGUUAAUGAGCUAUGUGGUAAAACCAAACCAUCUGAUUCUGUGUGUCUAUUGAGAUAGACAUGUAAAAUCUUUUCUUUGUUGACCACUUCUGAUGUAUGCUUCACAUUAUCAAUUACUAGUUCAUCUUCCCAAUUCCAAGUUCAAGAUCCUUAAGUGCAUUACUCUUACUUUAGUCCCUUGCUACUAAAAAAUCCUUCAAUUUAUCUAUUAUCUUUCUCGCUUACAUAGCUUAUCUUCCAAGCUCGAAACUGUCCUUGGUUAACAAAACAAGUAGUUCAUACUUGGUUUUAAUUAUCUGCUUUAUUUGCUUGUUAUUUAUUUCUCAAGUAGGCAUCCGUGAUGACUUCAUUUUAGUUAUCCUUGCACUCUGAUCCUCAGUGAAGAUACUCUUGGGAAGAUAUCGUCUGAGAUGCCUGAAUAUACAAGUGUACACAUAAAUAUGCCAACAUAUUGUCACUAAAAAAAUUCUUUCUGUUUUUAGGGUUGUAAUUUGACCCUUCAUGGAGAUAGGACCUCUUCACACAUAUAAUGAAAAUAGUAGUGUUUGAAAAAGCUUUAUGAAACUCGCUUCAAAACUUUUUGAAGGGUAAUCGCUUCGAAACUCAUAAAUGAAGCUAUUUAUCCCUUGAAGCCCCCGCUUCAUCACUUUAACCAUAACUAAAGUGUGCUUCACGUUACAUGAAGCGCUUCUCUUUUGGAGCACACACUUCACACAAGGUAGGAGGGUAUAAAAGAACGUUUGACUAAAAAUCAGAUACAUAUCUUAUAGUAUACGUGCAGCUUAAUUUAUUAUGACUUGCAUUAGUACUUAGCAUAUUUAAUUCUUAUUUACUAAUCAAGACUUGAAUGUAUCUAUAUUAAAAUUUUAUACUGCUAUAUAUGUUUUAUAAUAUUUAUAAAUUAAAAUAUACUUAGCUCAUCAGGCUUACGCCUCACGCUUUGAGGCUUACGCAUUGCUUCAUAAAAGGGUCUAAUGCUUCGCCUUGCGCAGUUGCGCAUCCUCUUUUUUAAACGUUGGAAAAUACUUUUUUGUCACUUAAAUACUUUUUUGAUUUGCCGCUUCUCGGAUAAAAACAUUCACUUGUUUUAUUCUUUAUAUUUUUCUGUUGGGCUUUGAUUUUCUAUCUUAACUCUUUCUUAGUCCUGAUUCCUCUGCUUUACUAUUUCCAUUCUAAGACUCAUUAUUUCUGCUAAAUUAUUGUAGCCAGUCUGUGGCACUGUGCAUAGAAAUAGAUAGGUACUCACUUGACAACUAGUCAUGCAGGGGUCUUAAAGGAAUUCUGAAAAAGUGUUAGUCGUUCCUUAAAAAAGGUAGCAGGUUUAAGAGAAUAUGAUUGACAUAUCAAGGGUUACAUAUCUCCUUGUUUUCUUUUCAUAUGCAAGCCUUUUUGGACAUUUGGGCAUGUUUUAACCGUGUUGGAUGUGAUUAUAAAAUCAAUUGGGAGCCUAUGUGUUGAGUUUGUGCAAAAGACCUGCCAAUAUUUUAUGGUAAUGGUUUGAACUGGAAUUUCUACCUUUGACCAAGCAACGCUUUACCCUAUACCUUGUAUGUGAGCUGCAUAUUGAUUUUUCUGUUUAUUUUAUGUUAAUGAAAACACAUUCAGCUGCAUGAUUGUGAUAUUAGUCUUUUUAGCAGAUAAUGAAAAAUGAUCUAAUGAAGUGUAUAUUAGCAUGCCAUGAGCCUUCAACUUUCAUGCAAACAUGCUAAAUGUCAAGAUUUGAGUGCAAGGAAGAAGUGUGUUUAUCCAUUUUUCUAGUAGCAAACCUACCAUGUGUAUGGGGGCAAAAGUUGAUGGAAUAGUAAUCCAAUAUGUCACUAUGUUAGUAACUAUUAGCUCAAAUUUGGUUUGGAAAAGCAUUUAUGAGAAAUCGAAUACUUUUAUUCAUAUUGUAAAUUUUUGGCAUUUAUUUUGAUACUUUUGUUUUAUUUAAUAUUCCCUUUAUAUGUGAUCCUUUGUGCUCUAUGUUAUUAUGCAGACAUGGUCAGAUCAAUUUUGCUUCUCAUAUAGAUUUUUUCCGACGUGUAUACUUAUCUUGAGAGAGAUAGAGUUUCAAUCUCUCUUUCUCGAUAGAUCUUUCUCAAAUUGAUUUUUAUUCUAUGCUAUUAGUUUGAAUAACAUCCAAUAUUAAUUUAAGCGUCAGAUUCAAGAUUGUAAACAAGUACAAAGACAAACACCUCAAAUUUUAUUUGAAUUCUGGUCUAAUUCUCAUUCAAGGUAAUUCUACUUGCUUGACAAAAGAUUCACCUAGGUGAUGUAUUUGCCAAUAACUACUUACCAUAUAUGCAAGUGUAUUUGCAAGCAAAGGUUCAUUAGUAUGCUUCUGUUGUUGCACAAAAAAUGACACAAAGGAGUUUGAAGACUACACUGAUGCAUGCGCACAGUGUCAGUUCAUUAUCCACAUGGGAGUUUGAAGACUAUGCUGAUGCAUAUGUACAAUGUUAGUGCAUUAUCCUGAUUUUUCCAUCUUGUUUUGAUUUUUACAUUCUGCAUCACAGAUAGUUUGCUUUUCCACUUUCUUUUUGUCUUUUUUUAGUUUUUUGUGUGCAGAAAGCUGCUUCCCCAGCAGAAAGGAGUUUAAAGACUUGCAAAUACAACGUGCAGAGGACUUGACAGCAGCAUGUUCUCGGAGGUUAAUUCUGUAUGCCCACCAUGCAAUUCUCCUUUUUUUUCCCUUUUCCUUUUAUUUCUUUGUAGUCUUGAGAAAAUUUUAUCAUUGUGAACUAGUUUUCUUGGAUGUCGUCAUCUAAUUAUAGAUCAUAUAAAGCUUAUGAAUGUA
Long non-coding RNA from Asparagus officinalis (garden asparagus), 7264 nucleotides. RefSeq lists it as uncharacterized. NCBI's taxonomy places the organism in Eukaryota, Viridiplantae, Streptophyta, Magnoliopsida, Asparagales, Asparagaceae. The record is from RefSeq and is a predicted model, not a curated record. The transcript has 4 exons.